UAAAAUUUCCAAACUGGGAUUAGAUACCCCACUAUGCUUAGCCCUAAAUCUUGGUACUUACCCUACUAAAGUACCCGCCCGAGAACUACGAGCACAAACGCUUAAAACUCUAAGGACUUGGCGGUGCCCCAAACCCACCUAGAGGAGCCUGUUCUGUAAUCGAUAACCCACGAUACACCCAACCGCCCCUUGCCAAAGCAGCCUACAUACCGCCGUCGCCAGCUCACCUUCCUUGAGAGCCCAACAGUGAGCACAACAGCUAC
This 263-nucleotide ribosomal RNA is filed under the name Ciconia ciconia (White stork). RNAcentral's name for it is "partial 12S ribosomal RNA". It matches the Rfam family "Bacterial small subunit ribosomal RNA", at positions 761 to 1108 of the family's 1533-position model. Lineage: Eukaryota; Metazoa; Chordata; Aves; Ciconiiformes; Ciconiidae. The record is from RNAcentral.